This 252-nucleotide ribosomal RNA is filed under the name uncultured bacterium. Its description in RNAcentral is "partial 16S ribosomal RNA". It matches the Rfam family "Bacterial small subunit ribosomal RNA", at positions 524 to 776 of the family's 1533-position model. The record is from RNAcentral.
UACGGAGGAUGCGAGCGUUAUCCGGAUUUAUUGGGUUUAAAGGGUGCGUAGGCGGGCUUUUAAGUCAGCGGUAAAAAUUCGGGGCUCAACCCCGUCCGGCCGUUGAAACUGGGGGUCUUGAGUGGGCGAGAAGAAGGCGGAAUGCGUGGUGUAGCGGUGAAAUGCAUAGAUAUCACGCAGAACCCCGAUUGCGAAGGCAGCCUUCCGGCGCCCUACUGACGCUGAGGCACGAAGGUGCGGGGAUCGAACAGG